GACAGAGGGUGCAAACGUUGCUCGGAAUUACUGGGCGUAAAGCGCGUGUAGGCGGACCACCAAGUCGGACGUGAAAGCCCUGAGCUCAACUCAGGAACUGCAUCCGAAACUGGCGGUCUGGAGUAGUGGAGAGGAAAGCAGAAUUCCUGGUGUAGAGGUGAAAUUCGUAGAUAUCAGGAAGAACACCUAUGGCGAAGGCAGCACUCUGGGACGGUACUGGCGCUGAGACGCGAAAGCGUGGGGAGCGAACAGG
RNAcentral lists this ribosomal RNA (253 nucleotides) under uncultured bacterium. RNAcentral's name for it is "partial 16S ribosomal RNA". It matches the Rfam family "Bacterial small subunit ribosomal RNA", at positions 524 to 776 of the family's 1533-position model. The record is from RNAcentral.